CUGUUUCCAUUUUCUGAAGGAGUCCCAGAUCCAUAUCUGAGUAAACCUGAAGGGAAACCUGUUGUCGGUUCCGUCUUUACUCUUGCAGAAUCGCAGCGCCACCUGCAGGGAUCCGCAUGUACACCACCCCCGGAUUAACGGCCGGCCCCACUGCUGCGCAGAAAAAGGAGAAAUGGACAAGCUCACAGAACCCACAAAGUAAUCAAACGAAAAUACAGUGGAAAUGGCUGCAGCGCAUCUUAAUUCUCUCAGGGUAUUAUUUCUUAAAACAGAAGGACAGGAAGAGGAUAAAGUUUGGACAUGGACAGAAGCAA
This 314-nucleotide long non-coding RNA is filed under the name Chinchilla lanigera (long-tailed chinchilla). Its description in RNAcentral is "lncRNA (ENSCLAG00000024536.1)". Lineage: Eukaryota; Metazoa; Chordata; Mammalia; Rodentia; Chinchillidae. The record is from RNAcentral.